UACGGGGGGGGUAAGCGUUGUUCGGAAUUACUGGGCGUAAAGGGCUCGUAGGCGGCCAACUAAGUCAGACGUGAAAUCCCUCAGCUUAACCGGGGAACUGCGUCUGAUACUGGAUGGCUUGAAUCCGGGAGAGGGAUGCGGAAUUCCAGGUGUAGCGGUGAAAUGCGUAGAUAUCUGGAGGAACACCGGUGGCGAAGGCGGCAUCCUGGACCGGCAUUGACGCUGAGGAGCGAAAGCCAGGGGAGCAAACGGG
Molecule: ribosomal RNA, 253 nt
Filed under: uncultured bacterium
Lineage: Bacteria
Description: partial 16S ribosomal RNA
Rfam family: Bacterial small subunit ribosomal RNA
Source: RNAcentral